UAACCUGCCCUUGACUCUGGGAUAAGCCUGGGAAACUGGGUCUAAUACCGGAUAUGACCUUCCAUCGCAUGGUGGUUGGUGGAAAGCUUUUGUGGUUUUGGAUGGACUCGCGGCCUAUCAGCUUGUUGGUGGGGUAAUGGCCUACCAAGGCGACGACGGGUAGCCGGCCUGAGAGGGUGACCGGCCACACUGGGACUGAGACACGGCCCAGACUCCUACGGGAGGCAGCAGUGGGGAAUAUUGCACAAUGGGCGCAAGCCUGAUGCAGCGACGCCGCGUGAGGGAUGACGGCCUUCGGGUUGUAAACCUCUUUCAGUAGGGAAGAAGCGUAAGUGACGGUACCUGCAGAAGAAGCGCCGGCUAACUACGUGCCAGCAGCCGCGGUAAUACGUAGGGCGCAAGCGUUAUCCGGAAUUAUUGGGCGUAAAGAGCUCGUAGGCGGUUUGUCGCGUCUGCCGUGAAAGUCCGGGGCUCAACUCCGGAUCUGCGGUGGGUACGGGCAGACUAGAGUGAUGUAGGGGAGACUGGAAUUCCUGGUGUAGCGGUGAAAUGCGCAGAUAUCAGGAGGAACACCGAUGGCGAAGGCAGGUCUCUGGGCAUUAACUGACGCUGAGGAGCGAAAGCAUGGGGAGCGAACAGGAUUAGAUACCCUGGUAGUCCAUGCCGUAAACGUUGGGCACUA
Molecule: ribosomal RNA, 682 nt
Filed under: Arthrobacter sp. EG8
Lineage: Bacteria; Bacillati; Actinomycetota; Actinomycetes; Micrococcales; Micrococcaceae
Description: bacterial SSU rRNA
Rfam family: Bacterial small subunit ribosomal RNA
Source: RNAcentral